ACUAUGAUCACUAUGGUAGCACAGACUAAGACUGAAGCAACACAGAGAAGACUGGCAUGUUCCCUGUGCACGGAUGACAUGCUAAGCUGUGAAGCGGUCCAUAUAGAG
This is a small nuclear RNA of Arvicola amphibius (Eurasian water vole), 108 nucleotides long. Lineage: Eukaryota; Metazoa; Chordata; Mammalia; Rodentia; Cricetidae. The record is from RefSeq and is a predicted model, not a curated record.